Carassius auratus (goldfish) is the source of this 956-nucleotide long non-coding RNA. RefSeq lists it as uncharacterized. Lineage: Eukaryota; Metazoa; Chordata; Actinopteri; Cypriniformes; Cyprinidae. The transcript has 3 exons. The record is from RefSeq and is a predicted model, not a curated record.
UGAAAUAAUAUAUCUUUAAAAAAAUAUAUUUUGUAAUUUUUAUUUGAGAUUUCUCAUUAUUUUUAUACUCAUAUCAAACUUAUUUGUCUUGUUUUUUAUUUUGUUAAAGAGAUAUUUCAUAAAUUACCAACACAAAAACAAUAUUCUGCUUGUAAAUUCGUCAUUAUACAAGAAGCACGAAGUAUUUCUUAAUAAAUUAUCAGAUUUUCAAUGUAGAAGUGCGAAUGAAAAUUGUAAUUUCCAGCAGUAAGAGUUUAAUAUGUGUGUUUAAUAAUAGCAAUAGCAUUGCGUUAUCAAGCACAAGGUUGUUGGUUCGAAUCCCCGGGAACACAUGAUAAGUAAAAAUUGUUAGCCUGAAUGUACUGUAAGUCGCUUUGGAUAAAAGCGUCUUGGUAAAUGCAUAAAUUUAAUUUAAUAUGUGUAUAUUUUGUUCAGUGUUAAACCGUAUAGAGAUGUGAAACUGUGCAGGGAAAGUGACAUUUGGAACGACUCUCGCUGAACUUUUACGUUUCUUCCGAUCUUGUGACGAUCUGUCUGUCGUUCGUAGGAAUGAAAGUGUCUUGCGAUGUGUUUUGCCGCAGCUGCUGUGUUUCUGUAGGAGUUACAGUGUUGGUGAUUCAGCGGCUGGAAUCGAAAGCGACACAAGAGAAGUGAAAGCACCUGACGGGGAUUUCAGAACUGUAACUGGGAUUUUUCUGAGGUCACCAAGAGUAUGCCGUUACCCACAAUCCACUGCGUGACUCUCGUGCCAAUACGGAUGAUGUUCCCAAAUGCUGGUCUGGAUCCCUGAGAGGCCUGUGGACACACAGAUAUCAUGCAGCCGAGUAACGAGUAAAUCUGAUGGACAAUAACACUGAUGCAUCGUUUCCAGGAAAGACCUCCGUGAUAUCGACCCCUCCUGUGUCUGCUGUCUCUCUUCUGCUCUUAUUAAAGACACAGCGUGCUGAAUACAGGCA